UUCUCCAACACCCUUAUCUACCACAGGCUCGGGUUUUCUACUGUGCACCGCACAGUGCGGUGCAUAAUGCACCAUUCAUUGCACGAUGGACGGUCGCGUGCGGAUGCACGCCUGUUGCGCACGGUCGUGCUCGACCAUCCAUAGCGCAGUGGAUGGGACGUACGUGCACUGCACGGUGCGGUAUACAGUAGAAGAUUCGC
Molecule: long non-coding RNA, 200 nt
Filed under: Elaeis guineensis (African oil palm)
Lineage: Eukaryota; Viridiplantae; Streptophyta; Magnoliopsida; Arecales; Arecaceae
Description: long non-coding RNA (EGUI_LNC026914)
Source: RNAcentral